GACGAACGCUGGCGGCGUGCUUAACACAUGCAAGUCGUACGGUAAGGCCCUUUCGGGGGUACACGAGUGGCGAACGGGUGAGUAACACGUGAGUAACCUGCCCACAACUUUGGGAUAACGCUAGGAAACUGGUGCUAAUACUGGAUAUGUGCUCCUGCUGCAUGGUGGGGGUUGGAAAGCUCCGGCGGUUGUGGAUGGACUCGCGGCCUAUCAGCUUGUUGGUGGGGUAGUGGCCUACCAAGGCGGCGACGGGUAGCCGGCCUGAGAGGGUGACCGGCCACAUUGGGACUGAGAUACGGCCCAGACUCCUACGGGAGGCAGCAGUGGGGAAGAUUGCACAAUGGGCGCAAGCCUGAUGCAGCAACGCCGCGUGCGGGAGGACGGCCUUCGGGUUGUAAACCGCUUUCAGCAGGGACGAAGCUUUUUGUGACGGUACCUGCAGAAGAAGCACCGGCUAACUACGUG
RNAcentral lists this ribosomal RNA (465 nucleotides) under uncultured bacterium. RNAcentral's name for it is "partial 16S ribosomal RNA". It matches the Rfam family "Bacterial small subunit ribosomal RNA", at positions 28 to 507 of the family's 1533-position model. The record is from RNAcentral.